AGGUUAAGCUAGUAAGAGCGCACGGAGGAUGCCUAGGCACCAGGAGCCGAAGAAGGACGUGGCGAACAACGAUACCGCCUCGGGGAGCCGUAAGCAGGCUUUGAUCCGGGGAUUUCCGAAUGGGGAAACCCAGCUGGGGUAAUGCCCAGUUACUCUUGACUGAAUACAUAGGUCAAGUAGAGGCAUACCGGGGGAACUGAAACAUCUAAGUACCCCGAGGAAGAGAAAACAAAAGUGAUUCCGUCAGUAGCGGCGAGCGAACGCGGAUUAGCCCAAACCAAGGAGCUUGCUCCUUGGGGUUGUAGGACAUCUCACAUGGAGUUACAAAGGUGUUGGUUAGGCGAAGAGGUCUGGAAAGGCCCGCUAGAAGAGGUAAAAGCCCUGUAACCAAAAAUCAGCACUCUCCGAGAUGUAUCCUGAGUACGGCGGGACACGUGAAACCCCGUCGGAAUCCGGCAGGACCAUCUGCCAAGGCUAAAUACUCCCUGGUGACCGAUAGUGAAGCAGUACCGUGAGGGAAAGGUGAAAAGCACCGCG
Molecule: ribosomal RNA, 537 nt
Filed under: Paenibacillus sp. 1011MAR3C5
Lineage: Bacteria; Bacillati; Bacillota; Bacilli; Caryophanales; Paenibacillaceae
Description: partial 23S ribosomal RNA
Rfam family: Bacterial large subunit ribosomal RNA
Source: RNAcentral